This 2105-nucleotide ribosomal RNA is filed under the name human gut metagenome. RNAcentral describes it as "bacterial LSU rRNA". It matches the Rfam family "Bacterial large subunit ribosomal RNA", at positions 700 to 2814 of the family's 2925-position model. The record is from RNAcentral.
UCGUUUGGCGUAGACGCGAAACCUGGUGAUCUAAACCUGUCCAGGAUGAAGCUGUGGUAAGACACAGUGGAGGUCCUAACCCACCGCCGUUGAAAAGUUGGGGGAUGAGGUAGGUUUAGGGGUGAAAAGCCAAUCGAACCAGGAGAUAGCUCGUUCUCUCCGAAAUGCAUCUAGGUGCAGCCUUGAGUGUUCAAUUAUGGGGGUAGAGCACUGAAUGAUCUAGGGGGCAUAUUGCUUACUGAAAUCAAUCAAACUCCAAAUACCAUAAUUUAUAGCUCAGGAGUGAGACCAUGGGAGUUAACUUCCAUUGUCAAAAGGGAAACAACCCAGACCACCAGCUAAGGUCCCUAAUUAUAACUAAGUGGGAAAGGAGGUGGAGAUUCACAAACAACUAGGAGGUUGGCUUAGAAGCAGCCAUACCUUUAAAGAGUGCGUAAUAGCUCACUAGUCGAGAGUCUCUGCGCCGACAAUGUAACGGGGCUAAGUUAUAAACCGAAGCUGUGGAAUCCUUAUGGAUUGGUAGGAGAGCGUUCUGUAGGCUGUUGAAGAAGAAGGGUAACCAACUUUGGAGGUAUCAGAAGUGAGAAUGCAGGAAUAAGUAGCGAGAAAGGGGGCGAGAAUCCCCCUCGCCGGAAGACCAAGGUUUUCAGGGUAAAGCUUGUCUUCCCUGAGUAAGCCGGGACCUAAGCCCAGGCUAUAAUGCGUAGGCGAAUGGAAAACAGAUUAAUAUUUCUGUGCCAGUCAUUUAUUGUGAUGGAGGGACGCAGAAGGGUAUGUGCGCGGACGAUCGGUUGUGUCCGUAGAAGUAUGUAGGGUGACUUAGUAGGUAAAUCCAUUAAGUUAUAUCUGAGGUAUGAUAUACAGUCGUAAGAUGAAUGUACAAAUCCCACGCUGCCAAGAAAAACUUCUAACGUUAAUAUAUGACUGCCCGUACUGUAAACCGACACAGGUGGUCAGGAUGAGAAAUCUAAGGCGGACAGGCUAACUCUCGUUAAGGAACUCUGCAAAAUAACCUCGUAACUUCGGGAGAAGAGGAGCCCUUGUGUGUGAGUAUACACGCGAUACAAAGCGCACGAGGGUCGCAGUGAAGAGGCUCAAGCAACUGUUUAACAAAAACACAGGUCUAUGCUAAGCUGUAAGGCGAUGUAUAUGGGCUGACACCUGCCCAGUGCUGGAAGGUUAAGAGGAGGAGUGAGAGCUCCGAAUUGAAGCCCCAGUGAACGGCGGCCGUAACUAUAACGGUCCUAAGGUAGCGAAAUUCCUUGUCGGGUAAGUUCCGACCUGCACGAAUGGUGUAAUGAUUUGAGCGCUGUCUUGACGGGAGGCCUGGUGAAAUUGUAUUACCGGUGAAGAUACCGGUUACCUACAGUAGGACGGAAAGACCCCAUGGAGCUUUACUGUAGCUUGGUAUUGGGUUUUGGCAUUGCAUGUAUAGGAUAGUUGGGAGACUAUGAUGGUAUGGCGCUAGCUGUAUCGGAGUCAUCGGUGGAAUACCAACCAUUCAAUGCUGAAAUUCUAAUCUGUGGUUUGUCGCCACGGAGACAGUGCUAGGUGGGCAGUUUGACUGGGGCGGUCGCCUCCGAAAGAGUAACGGAGGCGUUCAAAGGUUCUCUCAGGUUGGAUGGAAAUCAACCAUAGAGUGCAAUGGCAUAAGAGAGCUUGACUGCAAGACUGACGGGUCGAGCAGAUGCGAAAGCAGGACAUAGUGAUCCGGCGAUUCCGAAUGGAAGGGUCGUCGCUCAACGGAUAAAAGCUACCCUGGGGAUAACAGGCUGAUCCUACCCGAGAGUCCAUAUCGACGGUAGGGUUUGGCACCUCGAUGUCGGCUCAUCGCAUCCUGGGGCUGGAGAAGGUCCCAAGGGUUGGGCUGUUCGCCCAUUAAAGCGGUACGUGAGCUGGGUUCAGAACGUCGUGAGACAGUUCGGUCCCUAUCCACUGUAGGCGUUAGAAUAUUGAGAAGACCUGUCCUUAGUACGAGAGGACCGGGAUGGACAAACCUCUGAUGUACCAGUUGUCACGCCAGUGGCACAGCUGGGUAGUCACGUUUGGAAUAGAUAAUCGCUGAAAGCAUCUAAGCGAGAAACUAACUUCAAGAUAAGUAUUCU